CUUAAUAUGGGCGCAGCCUGAUCCAGCCAUGCCGCGUGAGUGAUGAAGGCCCUAGGGUUGUAAAGCUCUUUUGUGCGGGAAGAUAAUGACGGUACCGCAAGAAUAAGCCCCGGCUAACUUCGUGCCAGCAGCCGCGGUAAUA
RNAcentral lists this ribosomal RNA (142 nucleotides) under uncultured Nitrobacter sp. RNAcentral's name for it is "partial 16S ribosomal RNA". It matches the Rfam family "Bacterial small subunit ribosomal RNA", at positions 359 to 525 of the family's 1533-position model. Lineage: Bacteria; Pseudomonadati; Pseudomonadota; Alphaproteobacteria; Hyphomicrobiales; Nitrobacteraceae. The record is from RNAcentral.